RNAcentral lists this unclassified non-coding RNA (2254 nucleotides) under Lingula anatina. RNAcentral describes it as "uncharacterized LOC106178086, transcript variant X1". The record is from RNAcentral. Lineage: Eukaryota; Metazoa; Brachiopoda; Lingulata; Lingulida; Lingulidae.
AAUGACCUUUUACCUUGUUUGACCUCAUUACCAGCAGGAUCUCAACUGCACAGGUGUUGGCAUUCGAAGGUAUCUCUUGCGGUUCUUGUUCAAAACUCAAGAUGGGAGAAGAAAAGUUGACAGAAGAAGAGAAGAAGAUGAGCAUGGAUGAAAGGCUUGACAAGAUCAACAAUGAAAUUUAUUUGUUGUAUAAAAUGUGUUUAGAUAAUGGGUACAAGCCCAAAGAAAUAGAGCAGUUUGCCCAGCCCAUUCUUAGCAGUGUGACAGAGGCUAGGAGAAGACGGUACAUGAAGCGGAUGUUAUUUGGAGCUGUUGUUUUAGCUCUGAUAGCAUGUUUCAUAUACUACGAACCGGUGUAUCGUGGUAUUCAGUUCUACUUUAGGGUUGGACUAAUGAAUCUUCUUCCCUACUGGAACUGGAGUAAGCUGUACAACAGAGAGUGCCUGGUAGACAACCCAUUCUAUGAAGGUGAUAAGUUGACUGAAGAAGAUUGCAAGCUGUGUGCAAAUCUGACUGAUAUCCCUCGUCUUCAAAAUGUCAGUGAAGCAGACAUGGCAGACAAGUACAUUACUCCAGAGGUCCCAGUGAUUAUAACAGAUGCUAUGGAGAACUGGCCUGCUAGAGACUUGUUUUCUUUAGAGUGGCUGAUAGAACAAUACGAAAAUGUACCUCAGCUGAAGAAAGGGCGAUAUUGUGACUAUUAUAGCAAUUACAAGUUGAAAUUAGGAUCUGUGAAAAUUUUUCUGAAGGCUAUAGCAACUGGGAAGCUCAAAAAGUUCUAUGCUAGAUGGGAAAACUGUGACAAGGCCACAGCCAAAGUAUUUCGUGAGUACUACAACAACAGACCAUAUUUUCUGCCUCCCAUGGUGGAGCAAGCAGACAGCAAUAUGUUUGUCAUUUCCUCAAAUUACACACAAGGAAAAUACAAGCCUAUUUAUACUGAUAGUUCCUUGAUUUGGUAUGCACAGAUUAAAGGAGCUGCAGAGAUCAGAAUUAAAGCAUACAGUCCAUGUAAUGCCACGUGCCCUGAACUAAAAACAACUCUUCAUCCUGGGGAAAUCUUGGUCGUGUCACAGAUGCUAUGGAUGCUGGAUGUAAUGGUGAAUGACCCCGGUGAAAGUAUUGCCAUUGCUGCUGGGGGGAAAUAUGAUACUGUCCCCGCUACAUAGUAAUUAUGCCUUCUACCACUGAUGGCUGUUAUGUUGACCUAUAUUAUUACAUUUUUUUUUGGACAACAUGUGGACCCAGUGGAUCCAGAUAAUGUUCUUCCUGAGGUGAUUUUAUAAAAUGAGAUGGUAUACACUUCCUGAUAAUCAUUGAUGGAAGUCUGAUGGAGUCUGAUGAUUUUGAUGCUGUGCUGUACCUGAACUGCAAUAGUCAAUUUUUGUUUUUGGCCAUUGCUUGACUUAUUGUCAUUAUAUUAGUGAAAAGUUUGUAUUACUUUUACGCCUAUCAGUUGGGAUAAACGUAUAAUACUAAAGAAGAAAAUGGCAUAAUCAAAUAUUGUUUAACUUUUAAAAAGAUUUGCUUUAGUUGUCAUUUGAUACCAAAAUUUUUAAAAAUUUUGUUAAAGUAAUUAUGGAACUGAUUAAAGAAUGAAAAUGAUUGUGAUAAGAAUAUAUCAAGUAUUACUCCUAAUUUCCCAUUAAGAAUCUCCACUUAUAUUUUGCAGCAUGCAAUUUUCUGGAAUGCUUACAGUGUAGUGAUAUUAACGUUAGACCUAACUUUAUUUGUUAUUCAGGCACUAGUUUUAGAAUUAUUCUUUUUAUUUUCAAAUAUCUGUGACUUUAGGGAGAUAGAUUUGUAUUCAGACAACUUUUUUUAUUCAGAUACUGUUAAGAUUUUUUUUGUUAAAUGUUACUGUCCUGUUUUCUUUCUUAAUUCAAACUCCACUGUUUUUAACGUUUUAGUUUUACAAUUAAGGUGAAAAAAGGGAUUUUUGAUUAUUACUAUAACAUUUUAUUCAGCUUAUUAAGAGAAUCUCGGCCUCAAAAUCAGAGACAAAUUUCAUUUGUUUUGAAAUAUAAUAAUGAAAAAAAUAAAUAAAUAAAUGACAGCAGAACAAUGCCAGUUACUAUGUAAACUGAAGACUAGUUGUUAAAAAAUGUUUAUUUGCAAGUAAAAUAGAUAUCGAUAUUAAACAAUAAUAUAGAGAAUUAAAUUCACUAAAUGAGUAAUUAAUAAAGUCUUUAAUUAAAAUUGUAAAGAUGAAAUAAAACAUUUGGUACUUAGAGGAUAUUUAAAAAUACAUUGA